CCUACGGGUGGCUGCAGUGGGGAAUAUUGGACAAUGGGGGAAACACUGAACCAGCGACGCCGCGUGCAUGAAGACGUAUUUCGGUACGUAAAGCUCUAUCAGCAGGAAAGAAAAUGACGGUACCUGACUAAGAAGCCCCGUCGCACUACGUUCCAGCAGCCGCGGUAAUACGCCGGGGGCAAGCGUGAUCCGGAUUUACUGGGUGUAAAGGGAGCGUAGACGGCAGCGCAAGGCUGGAGUGAAAUGCCGGGGCCCAACCCCGGAACUGCUCUGGGAACUGUGAAGCUGGAGUGCAGGAGAGGUAAGCGGAAUUCCUGGUGUAGCGGUGAAAUGCGUAGAUAUCAGGAGGAACACCGGCGGCGAAGGCGGCUUACUGGACUGUAACUGACGUUGAGGCUCGAAGGCGUGGGGAGCAAACAGGAUUAGAUACCCGUGUAGUC
Molecule: ribosomal RNA, 440 nt
Filed under: uncultured bacterium
Lineage: Bacteria
Description: partial 16S ribosomal RNA
Rfam family: Bacterial small subunit ribosomal RNA
Source: RNAcentral